This 253-nucleotide ribosomal RNA is filed under the name uncultured bacterium. RNAcentral's name for it is "partial 16S ribosomal RNA". It matches the Rfam family "Bacterial small subunit ribosomal RNA", at positions 524 to 776 of the family's 1533-position model. The record is from RNAcentral.
UACGGAGGGUGCAAGCGUUAUCCGGAUUCACUGGGUUUAAAGGGUGCGUAGGUGGGCUUGUAAGUCAGUGGUGAAAUCUCCGUGCUUAACAUGGAAACUGCCAUUGAUACUAUAGGUCUUGAAUUAUCUGGAGGUUAGCGGAAUAUGUCAUGUAGCGGUGAAAUGCUUAGAUAUGACAUAGAACACCAAUUGCGAAGGCAGCUAGCUACAGGUUGAUUGACACUGAGGCACGAAAGCGUGGGGAUCAAACAGG